GGAGACCACAGUGCUUCUAUCAGACUUCCUAUCCUCAGACAAGCUAAUUCAUGCAAGCCAGGGUGAAGAGUUCAGACCUCUGCCCCCUACUCCACCCUAAUGACCAGUCUUGAAUCUGGAUGUCCUCAGGAAGGCCUAGCUGGAGGGACCACACACAACCUUGGUUAAGUUGGCUGCAUUCUGCUGAGGCAGGUUCAGCUCUAAGCAGCAGCUGCCAACCUUCCUCACAAUUAAGGAGUGAAGAGAGGCCUGUAAUGCACCAUAGCAUCAACUUCUAGCUCCAACUCCUUCGCCUAAAAUCUGAAAUAACCUGCGAUACUUCUAGAAGCAUUUAAAUCCUGGCAGAACUUCCAGCUGCAUCUACAUCCCAGCUGUGGUUAUUUUUGAGCCUACCUACAUGGAGAAGUGGAAGAAUCACAAGCCGGGAGCAGCCUGGAGUGCUGUAAACACAUAGGAGACUGCUCCGUGGAGAGUUGCUGAACGUGUGUCAGUGAUUAACUUCCUGUAACUCCAAGCGGACCUCACCAUGGUGUGGGAGGGGC
RNAcentral lists this long non-coding RNA (542 nucleotides) under Heterocephalus glaber (naked mole-rat). RNAcentral describes it as "lncRNA (ENSHGLG00000033317.1)". The record is from RNAcentral. Lineage: Eukaryota; Metazoa; Chordata; Mammalia; Rodentia; Bathyergidae.